AUGGAGGGGAAAACUACUCUAUGUUUUCUCACUGUGCUUCUGCUGCUAGGAAAUUGUGCUGAUGCUGAGACCUGCACAGAGCACCGUGCUAACAAGGGCGCAGCGUGCAUAAAUGAAUAUUGUUGGAAAGACUGCGCCAGAGACUACCAUGGACAUUAUGUCAAGAAUGCUUACUGUACUGGCGUUUACCCCUUCACAAAAGUCUAUUGUGUCUGCGACGUCUGUGAUGAGUAG
RNAcentral lists this ribosomal RNA (234 nucleotides) under Triticum aestivum (bread wheat). RNAcentral describes it as "partial small subunit ribosomal RNA". The record is from RNAcentral. Lineage: Eukaryota; Viridiplantae; Streptophyta; Magnoliopsida; Poales; Poaceae.